AACAACUGUGUCGGGCUGCCUAGUUUCAAGUUCCCUUUCAAUUCAUGUCAGAGAUUUUUCCAUGCCAAGUAUGAACAAGGACUGUGAAAGUGAAUGAAGCUAGUUUUAAUCACUGGAAGGUAGACACGAAGAGGGAAACUGAAGAAGAUAUGAAGAUGAAAGCAGGUUCUAGAAUUGAUAAUUCCAAGACAAAAUCCUCAUGUAAAGAAGCUACGGGAUUUGUACAAGAAGGAAAAGGUAGGCUGUAUAUAUUUGGUAGAUGUGUUGCUAUGCUUCUUUGCUGGCAUGAUUGAAUCAAUCAUGUGUAUGAAUCCCUCGUUCUAUCUGUUUUUGUUAGUUAUCUUCCUUGGUCUCCUUUUUCCUGCUCCCUCUCGAUCAAUCUGUACAGUUUACUGUUAUCCUUUCAUAUGAAGGCUUCGGAUUACAACGUAACAGCUCAA
Non-coding RNA from Cucurbita pepo subsp. pepo (vegetable marrow), 440 nucleotides. NCBI's taxonomy places the organism in Eukaryota, Viridiplantae, Streptophyta, Magnoliopsida, Cucurbitales, Cucurbitaceae. The record is from RefSeq and is a predicted model, not a curated record.